GCAAGUCGAACGAGAAAGCACUUCGGUGUGAGUACAGUGGCGCACGGGUGAGUAACGCGAAGGUAACAUGCCUUAUAGCGGGGGACAACAUCGUGAAAACGGUGCUAAUACCGCAUAAGCUCGCAAGAGGAAAGGUGGCUUCGGCUAUCGCUAUAAGAUUGGCCUGCGUGACAUUAGCUUGUUGGUGGGGUAAUGGCCUACCAUGGCGACGAUGUCUAGCUGGUCUGAGAGGAUGAUC
RNAcentral lists this ribosomal RNA (238 nucleotides) under uncultured bacterium. RNAcentral's name for it is "partial 16S ribosomal RNA". It matches the Rfam family "Bacterial small subunit ribosomal RNA", at positions 57 to 305 of the family's 1533-position model. The record is from RNAcentral.